This is a long non-coding RNA of Ruditapes philippinarum (Manila clam), 746 nucleotides long. RefSeq lists it as uncharacterized. Lineage: Eukaryota; Metazoa; Mollusca; Bivalvia; Venerida; Veneridae. The record is from RefSeq and is a predicted model, not a curated record. The transcript is spliced from 3 exons.
UUGAAACUUCAGAUUUAAACUAUUUAAAUGCAAGUAAUGCAAAGAAGCAAUUUAUUGCACUGCAUUCUUUCCGCAAUAAUGUUAUAGUUUUUCUUAAUCAAAUGUGCAUCUGUGAUUUCAUUUAAACAUUUGAAAUGAAAACAUUUUAAACAUGAACAUUGUGCACAAGUUGAUACCAUUUGAUUCAAACAUCGUGAAUGGAUUAAAGGAUAUAUUUACCGUCUGACAUCAUAAUAACAAACUGUUGUGAAACGUAAUGUCUAGUCAUGGCUGCUGCUCUAUCCGGUACAUCAUCUUCGGCGCAUGCAUCAGACAAUCGUAUCUUCCUAUUCCGUCUACAAAUGUUAAUUAUUGAUGGUGGACUAGCAGUGUUAAGAAAUUAUGUAGAUCAGGAACUUUCAUCUCAAUCUAUUACUCUCAGUGGAUGUCUUACAAUCGAAAAGACAACAAUCAAACUUUUAAAGGCACGUGGAAUAAUAACACAGGUGCAAUAUGAUUUAUUGUAUCCAUCACGUGGCACUGUUUCAACGUCAGAUUUGGAUAUCACGCUUAUCAUUUGUCUCAUGAGAAGCCUAAAAUGUUUCAAGUUAAAUAAAAAGUUUAAUUGGAACAUUACACCUGUACAAAGUGAUACUUCUAUCGAAGCAGACAUUUGUAGACUAAAGAAUUACAGGAACGAAAUUUCUCAUAUAUCGACCACUACAGGGAUACAAUGUAACGAUUUUACUACCAAGUGGAAAGAAAUC